GUCUCAGGCCGUAUCAGCCCGAAGGCGCCCGAUCUCGUCUGAUCUCGGAAGCUAAGCAGGGUCGGGCCUGGUUAGGAUCUUGGAUGGGAGACCACCUGGGAAUCCCGGGUGCUCGAGGCU
Molecule: ribosomal RNA, 120 nt
Filed under: Bison bison bison
Lineage: Eukaryota; Metazoa; Chordata; Mammalia; Artiodactyla; Bovidae
Source: RNAcentral